AUGCAAGUCGAGCGAACUGAUUAGAAGCUUGCUUCUAUGACGCUAGCGGCGGACGGGUGAGUAACACGUGGGCAACCUGCCUGUAAGACUGGGAUAACUUCGGGAAACCGAAGCUAAUACCGGAUAGGAUCUUCUCCUUCAUGGGAGAUGAUUGAAAGAUGGUUUCGGCUAUCACUUACAGAUGGGCCCGCGGUGCAUUAGCUAGUUGGUGAGGUAACGGCUCACCAAGGCAACGAUGCAUAGCCGACCUGAGAGGGUGAUCGGCCACACUGGGACUGAGACACGGUCCAGACUCCUAC
This 299-nucleotide ribosomal RNA is filed under the name uncultured Bacillus sp. RNAcentral's name for it is "partial 16S ribosomal RNA". It matches the Rfam family "Bacterial small subunit ribosomal RNA", at positions 55 to 342 of the family's 1533-position model. Lineage: Bacteria; Bacillati; Bacillota; Bacilli; Caryophanales; Bacillaceae. The record is from RNAcentral.